Molecule: long non-coding RNA, 2878 nt
Organism: Ictalurus punctatus (channel catfish)
Lineage: Eukaryota; Metazoa; Chordata; Actinopteri; Siluriformes; Ictaluridae
Source: Ensembl
UAUAUUGUUCGUCCAAUUUUGACAAAAUUCGUAAGAGAUCAUCUUCAGACCAUGUCGGCAAAAAUGUAUCAAAAACUUUUUGAAAAGCCAAACCGUUCUCAAAUAAUGUGUGGACGAAUUCAAUGAUGAUCAUGCCAAAAAGGAUGCGAGACUAUAUCUCCGUAAUGCAUACGGUGUGCAACUGUCUGUUUUUACUUCAUUCAGGAACUUGCUUAAAAGAUAAUAACUGGUGUAUUGGUAGUGUUACCACUUAACAGUUUCAAGCUCCUGGGUUUUAGCCUGUGUUUGGGUGGCUGUGUGGAGUUUGACUACUUUUUCCCCAAAUUUCCCUUUCAGGAUCAGUAAAGUACAUCUAUCUAUCUAAGCUUAUGUUUGUCAGUGCUAGACAAUUUCCAAAUUAGUAUCAAUCACUUGAGAAGGUGACUCAGAAAUCCGCAGUUAUACCGUCAUGGACAUUAGAGCGAUCCUGAAAAAGGUGGUCAGUUUCAUUGCCAGCCAAUCUGAGAGACCAGGACAUGUUCAAGAUUGAUAAGCUUGUGAAUAUCCUAAGGCCUGAACUGGAGAAAGAAAGAAAAAAAAAUCAAUAUCCUCUCUCUAAACAAUCGGUGUGUGUUUCUUGUUAUUUCUUCUCACCUGCCAAAAAAAAGCAUGCUGGUAGGUUUACUGGCAAGGCUAAAUUGUCCCGAGGUGUCAGUAAGUGUGUGAAUGUGUGGGCAAUGAACUGGUGUCCCAUCUGGGAUGUAUUAACACCCAGUGCUCCUAAGAUCCAGAUCCAGAUACUACAACCCUGACUCAGAAAUUACUAAAGGGAAAAAAAAAUGAAUAAACACAGAAUAAACAUUCUGACUACAGAGUCCCCUUAAAGGGAUAUUGCACCCCAAAAUGAACAUUCUGUCAUCAAUUACUCAGCCUCAUGUUGUUUCAAACCCAUAAGACUUUUGAAAAAAUUUUGAAACCUGGGAGAUUUCUGUCCCUCCAUUCACAGUCCAGUAACCAAAACUUUCAAGCACCAAAAAGUUAACAAACGAGAGAACCAUGCAUGCGUGUUGUGUUGACCCGAAAUCGGAGGAAAAAACGCAUCAUUGUUACAAAGAUUGUUCUGUGUGACUUAGUUUGUGUACAGCGUCCAUCUUCCUCUAUUGUAAAUAGUGUAUACCAAGGGACCUGGAAGCGCUGCCCUUUUUACAGCAUAGGAGGAGGGACAUGCAUGCGUUGUGGUUCUCAAGUGUACAUGCGUCGGAGAUCUAUGUGAAAGUGAAGAUGUUUUGUGAAUAAAGACUUCAUUUUAGUUUUUUUGUACACACAAAGCAUGCGCAUCACUUCAAAAAAUUGGGAUUAAACCACUGGAGUCACAUGGAUUACUUUAUGAUGCCUUUAUGAACUUUUUGGGGCUUGAACGUUUUGGUUACUUCGACUGUAAAUGGAGGGACAGAAAUCUCCCAGGUUUCAUUAAAAUGUUUUAAUUUGUGUUCCGAAGAUGAACGAAAGUCUUAUGGGUUUAGAACAACAUGGAGGCGAGUAAUUGAUGAUGACAUUUUCAUUUUUGGGUGAACUAUCCAUUUAGGGUCCACUUCUUUGUGGCUAAUGUGCAACAGAUGGGCAUUUUGUGUGGAAUGCAUCAAACAUCAUACUACAUCAUACUGUGCAGCACUUUUAUAUAGAUUGUUAAUAUUUAUUGUUCAUUGUCCCUCUUUGAACAUGUUUAGCACUUACAUUUAUCUCAUUUCAGCCAUGAUGUCAGCACCAGCGAUUCUUGGAGUCAAAUUGGGAACAGAUGGGGAUAGAGUGUAAAAGUGUACAAAGUGUACAACAAUAUAUAGUAGUAACCUGAAACGUUAGCUAUGUAAAGGGUAUUUACAUACAUUUUCUUUUCUUAAUUCUAAAGACAAACUGCCAUAACUAGUUCUGAAUGGAUAACUACAAUACGGACACAACUCACUUCCAUAUCUCUCGUUGCCAAGCUAGCACAACUCAGCAUUAUGCUGAGCCUUAUAUUCGUAAUAUCACUUAGUUGUCCUUAGCCCAAAUGUAGUGUAAACGAACGAAAUGCUGUGCAACUUUCCUCACUUUCACUUGCAUUUACAACAGUCUGUCACAACGUGAGGGUUCACAACAAACUCGGCGGGAGGAUAUGCAAGUGAAUGUAACGUUCAUAGUCAAAAACUGGACCUGACCUGCUAAAAUAUAUCAAUGAACUUGCCUUAAGUAUGGGCGCAACCAAGUGUACAAUUGGAGGGGGGCACACACCUAUUUUCCUUAAGAAACUGAAAUACAUUUAAAAAAAAAAAAAAAGAAUAGACAUAAAUAAAUAGAAUAGAUGAAGAAAAGACAGAUCGGUAUUAACUCAACAUUAGGGGGGAAACGACCCCCACAAAGAAUGCGUGGUUACGCCCAUGCAUAUCUAUAUGCAAGAUAUGCAAAAAGGUAUUGACAGGCUGGAAAAAGAUGGAAAAUCUCCCCUUACCCUGAUCCAUGGAUAAGGAAACGACAGAGAGCAGAACCACAAGCAGAAACCGACAGAGAAACAUAACGGACAAGUUCGUGUUGAAGUAAACUCCUUUAAGAAGCUCCUCCAUGCGCGUACACACACUGACGAGCCUUCUCUGCCUCAAGCCCACAAGCACACAAGCACACGCGGACACCUCUUUGCAGUGACGAACUCAGCACUUGAUCAGUGGGCUGGUCUGGCUAAAACAGGGUGGCCAAUGAUUUGUGAAAUAAACUCAAAUACCAGCAGUCACUCAACCUCAAAACAAUCUAAAUCAGUGGUUCUCAACCAGCGCAAAUUGUUUUCAGGAAAAAACACAGUCGGGGCAUAAUUUGGGUACUCGGUGUGUUUUAUUGAUUUUCAAAAAGAAUGUGCGUAAAUGAAAAACCC